UACGGGGGGUGCGAGCGUUGUCCGGAAUCACUGGGCGUAAAGGGCGCGUAGGCGGUCUGUCGCGUCGGCUGUGAAAACCUGCAGCUUAACUGUGGGCGUGCGGUCGAUACGGGCAUCACUGGAGUUCGGCAGGGGAGACUGGAAUUCCUGGUGUAGCGGUGAAAUGCGCAGAUAUCAGGAGGAACACCGGUGGCGAAGGCGGGUCUCUGGGCCGAUACUGACGCUGAGGAGCGAAAGCGUGGGGAGCGAACAGG
This 254-nucleotide ribosomal RNA is filed under the name uncultured bacterium. RNAcentral's name for it is "partial 16S ribosomal RNA". It matches the Rfam family "Bacterial small subunit ribosomal RNA", at positions 524 to 776 of the family's 1533-position model. The record is from RNAcentral.